GCCCGCCUAGCUCAAUCGGAUAGAGCGUCAGACUCUUAUGAGACCCGGGUGAAUACCAAUCUGAAGGCUGGGGGUUCGACCCCCCCGGUGGGCU
Irpex rosettiformis is the source of this 94-nucleotide non-coding RNA. NCBI's taxonomy places the organism in Eukaryota, Fungi, Basidiomycota, Agaricomycetes, Polyporales, Irpicaceae. The record is from the annotation of a GenBank genome assembly.